Molecule: ribosomal RNA, 449 nt
Filed under: uncultured bacterium
Lineage: Bacteria
Description: bacterial SSU rRNA
Rfam family: Bacterial small subunit ribosomal RNA
Source: RNAcentral
UCGAGAAUCAUUCGCAAUGGGCGCAAGCCUGACGAUGCGACGCCGUGUGUAUGAUGAAGGCCUUCGGGUCGUAAAGUACUUUCGCCUGGGAACAAGAGAAACUGGCUAAUAUCCAGCGUAUUUGAGGGUACCAGGUAAAGAAGCACCGGCUAACUCCGUGCCAGCAGCUGCGGUAAUACGGAGGGUGCAAGCAUUAAUCGGAUUUAUUGGGCGUAAAGGGCGCGUAGGCGGGCUUGUAAGUCAGAUGUGAAAGCCCGGGGCUCAACCCCGGAAUUGCAUUUGAAACUGCGAGUCUAGAGGGUAGGCGGAGAAAAUAGAAUUCCACAAGUAGCGGUGAAAUGCGUAGAUAUGUGGAAGAAUACCAGUGGCGAAAGCGGUUUUCUAGCUUAUACCUGACGCUGAGGCGCGAAAGCAAGGGGAUCAAACAGGAUUAGAUACCCCCGUAGUCC